RNAcentral lists this ribosomal RNA (504 nucleotides) under uncultured bacterium. Its description in RNAcentral is "partial 16S ribosomal RNA". It matches the Rfam family "Bacterial small subunit ribosomal RNA", at positions 28 to 523 of the family's 1533-position model. The record is from RNAcentral.
GAUGAACGCUAGCGGCAGGCCUAAUACAUGCAAGUCGAACGGGAUUGCGGUGUAGCUUGCUACACUGCAUGAGAGUGGCGCACGGGUGCGUAACGCGUGAUCAACCUACCCAUAUCAGGGGGAUAGCCCGGAGAAAUCCGGAUUAACACCGCAUGGGACAGUAUUACCGCAUGGUAUAGCUGUUAAAUAUUUAUAGGAUAUGGAUGGGCUCGCGUGACAUUAGCUAGUUGGUGGGGUAACGGCCCACCAAGGCGACGAUGUCUAGGGGCUCUGAGAGGAGAAUCCCCCACACUGGUACUGAGACACGGACCAGACUCCUACGGGAGGCAGCAGUAAGGAAUAUUGGUCAAUGGGCGGAAGCCUGAACCAGCCAUGCCGCGUGCAGGACGACUGCCCUAUGGGUUGUAAACUGCUUUUGUACGGGAAUAACCCUCUCUACGAGUAGAGAGCUGAACGUACCGUAAGAAUAAGGAUCGGCUAACUCCGUGCCAGCCGCCGCCGUAA